Molecule: long non-coding RNA, 721 nt
Organism: Orcinus orca (killer whale)
Lineage: Eukaryota; Metazoa; Chordata; Mammalia; Artiodactyla; Delphinidae
Exons: 2
Source: RefSeq, a predicted model, not a curated record
CCAGCGCCUGUCUACGCCACCCUUAGUCUGAUUCCUUUAGGUCCCCGGAGUUCUGUCUCCCAACUUUGUUCCGCUCUCUCAAGGGAGCGACGGGACAUCCAGCUGAGGCCAAGUCCCCGUCCGCCCCCUCGAGCGUCAGGUGCUCGAUGCCCAGCCAGGCCCCCAACUCCCCGCCGCUUGGGUCCCAGAGUCCGUGCGCACCCGGCCCCCCGCCCCCAGGAGGCGGCACUCACUCUCCCCCACCACCGCCUUCAGCCCCGAGGGCGCCAUCUUCCCCUAGGGGCGCCGCCGCUUCCGGGUCUGUCCCAAGGUGGGGGCGUGGCCCUUAACGUCAUCCACGUGGACUCCGCCCUGCGGGGGCCUGGCUCCCGCCCCCUGCGCACCUGGCCCCGCCCCGCCGUCGGUUUUCAGAGAGGUUGCUGGGUUCCGUGUGGAGAGGACCCGCGAAUGAGUCCACGCAGACGCGCACCAAGUCGCCGGACGACGCACUCACAGACCCAUGUGAAGGACACAAGGGGGACAUCUGUGACAACAGAGGCAGAGCCUGAAGUCCUGCUGCCACAAGCCAAGGGACACCAAGGACUGCCGGCAGCCACAAGAACCCAGGGAGAGGCAAGGAAAGACCCUCUCUUCCAUGCUACAGGAGUAUAGCCCUGCCAACACCUCGAUUCUGUACUGCCGGCCUCCAGAACUGUAUGACAAUAAACGUCUGUUGCUCUAA